This 460-nucleotide ribosomal RNA is filed under the name uncultured soil bacterium. Its description in RNAcentral is "bacterial SSU rRNA". It matches the Rfam family "Bacterial small subunit ribosomal RNA", at positions 62 to 519 of the family's 1533-position model. The record is from RNAcentral.
UCGAACGGGAUUGAGAAGCUUGCUUUUCAUGAGAGUGGCGCACGGGUGCGUAACACGUAUGUAACCUACCUUAAUCUGGGGGAUAGCCUCUCGAAAGAGAGAUUAACACCGCAUAACAUUACCGGAUAGCAUUUUCUGGUAAUCAAAUAUUUAUAGGAUUAAGAUGGGCAUGCGGAACAUUAGCUAGUUGGUAAGGUAAUGGCUUACCAAGGCUACGAUGUUUAGGGGAUCUGAGAGGAUGACCCCCCACACUGGUACUGAGACACGGACCAGACUCCUACGGGAGGCAGCAGUAAGGAAUAUUGGUCAAUGGGCGCAAGCCUGAACCAGCCAUGCCGCGUGCAGGAAGACGGCCCUACGGGUUGUAAACUGCUUUUGUAUCGGAAUAAACCUUUUCACGUGUGAGAAGCUGAAUGUACGGUAAGAAUAAGGAUCGGCUAACUCCGUGCCAGCAGCCGCG